RNAcentral lists this ribosomal RNA (411 nucleotides) under Actinomycetes bacterium. RNAcentral describes it as "Actinobacteria bacterium partial 16S ribosomal RNA". It matches the Rfam family "Bacterial small subunit ribosomal RNA", at positions 355 to 776 of the family's 1533-position model. Lineage: Bacteria; Bacillati; Actinomycetota; Actinomycetes. The record is from RNAcentral.
UGGGGAAUAUUGCACAAUGGGCGCAAGCCUGAUGCAGCGACGCCGCGUGGGGGAGGACGGCCUUCGGGUUGUAAACUCCUUUCGCUAGGGACGAAGCUUUUUGUGACGGUACCUAGAUAAGAAGCACCGGCUAACUACGUGCCAGCAGCCGCGGUAAUACGUAGGGUGCGAGCGUUGUCCGGAAUUACUGGGCGUAAAGGGCUCGUAGGUGGUUUGUCGCGUCGUCUGUGAAAUUCCGGGGCUUAACUCCGGGCGUGCAGGCGAUACGGGCAUAACUUGAGUACUGUAGGGGUAACUGGAAUUCCUGGUGUAGCGGUGAAAUGCGCAGCUAUCAGGAGGAACACCGAUGGCGAAGGCAGGUUACUGGGCAGUUACUGACGCUGAGGAGCGAAAGCAUGGGUAGCGAACAGG